This 507-nucleotide long non-coding RNA is filed under the name Citrus maxima (pomelo). RNAcentral describes it as "long non-coding RNA (CMAX_LNC002601)". Lineage: Eukaryota; Viridiplantae; Streptophyta; Magnoliopsida; Sapindales; Rutaceae. The record is from RNAcentral.
CCACCAAUUUUAUUAUAUUACAUCAAUUUAAAUAAGAAAAAGAAGAAGAAGCUAAAACUAUAACUAGCGUUAUGAUCAGAAUUUAUAUCGGAAUGUACUUUUAACCUGUUUAGUUUUAGUACUUGGUAUUUUGUUAAUGAAAGUAUGAAACCUUUCCCCCAACUUCCUUUCUUCAUUGAGUCCUUUUCAGAAUUUUGGCACAAGCUUAGGAGAGGCCUAUUGGAUGAAGAUUGGGCCCUGGCCCCGGUACACCGGCCCAAUCGGAAGACGGCACGUUCUUUUUCCUUGCUUGUAGGUCAAACAAACAAAUUAGCUCCUUUUGAUAUUUGAACUAUGUACAUGAUCUCUCGCUUCAUCAAAGACGUGCCAUCUUGGAUUUCAAUGAUCUCACCUCAGAAUCAUCAAGGAUUUUGUCAUUCGAGUCUCACUCACUCCAUUGAAUAAAUAAUACAACGAGCCGCCCCCGUUUUGCACGACGGUCACGUAUAUUGCAUGAUUAUUUCCCUU